GGGCGUAUAGCUCAGUUGGUAGAGUGCUUGCAUCAUAAGCACAAGGCUCUGGGUUUAAUCCCUAGCACCACCA
Molecule: transfer RNA, 73 nt
Filed under: Ictidomys tridecemlineatus (thirteen-lined ground squirrel)
Lineage: Eukaryota; Metazoa; Chordata; Mammalia; Rodentia; Sciuridae
Description: Spermophilus tridecemlineatus (thirteen-lined ground squirrel) tRNA
Rfam family: tRNA
About the family: Transfer RNA (tRNA) molecules are approximately 80 nucleotides in length. Their secondary structure includes four short double-helical elements and three loops (D, anti-codon, and T loops).
Source: Rfam by way of RNAcentral